GAUGAACGCUGGCGGCGUGCCUAAUACAUGCAAGUCGAGCGAACGGACGAGAAGCUUGCUUCUCUGAUGUUAGCGGCGGACGGGUGAGUAACACGUGGAUAACCUACCUAUAAGACUGGGAUAACUUCGGGAAACCGGAGCUAAUACCGGUUAAUAUUUUGAACCGCAUGGUUCAAAAGUGAAAGAAGGUCUUGCUGUCACUUAUAGAUGGAUCCGCGCUGCAUUAGCUAGUUGGUAAGGUAACGGCUUAGCAAGGCAACGAUGCAUAGCCGACCUGAGAGGGUGAUCGGCCACACUGGAACUGAGACACGGUCCAGACUCCUACGGGAGGACGCAGUAGGGAAUCUUCCGCAAUGGGCGAAAGCCUGACGGAGCAACGCCGCGUGAGUGAUGAAGGUCUUCGGAUCGUAAAACUCUGUUAUUAGGGAAGAACAUAUGUGUAAGUAACUGUGCACAUCUUGACGGUACCUAAUCAGAAAGCCACGGCUAACUACGUG
Molecule: ribosomal RNA, 497 nt
Filed under: uncultured bacterium
Lineage: Bacteria
Description: partial 16S ribosomal RNA
Rfam family: Bacterial small subunit ribosomal RNA
Source: RNAcentral